ACUGCAACACAGGUGCUGGAAAGUAGUGAGAGGCUGGUGCACCUGCAGAGCGAGCUCUCUUGUCUGCAGCGGAUCCAGAAAGACAACAUGAAGGAGAUUGCUGAGAAAAACAUCUGCAUCACCAAGCUGCAAGCUAACAUUCAGCUGCUGCAACAAGAGGGGGCCGACACACAUGCUCAGCUCUCCAAACUGAGUGUGAGAGCGAAGGAGCUUCAGCAGGAUGAGCUGAAGAGAAAAGAGGAGGAAUGGAGGCAAAGAGAAGAGGAACAGAGACUGAAACAUGAAAAGGAGAUUCAACAAGCAGAGGAGAGGAGAAGGCAGGAGCAACAAACAAGAGAGGAGGAGGAGUGGGUGAAGAAAGUGGAGGAGGAGAGGAAGAGGCAGGAGUGGAAGAGGGAGCGUGAGGAGGAGAGAAAGACCCUUGCUGAAGCUGUUAAAAAGUGGUCUGAGAAGGCAGCUAUUUUGAAUUCUGAGUCUCCAGGAACUGUCAAGAGACUGCACUGUUGCUACCAGGUCAAAUCUCCUGACAACCUGACAGCAUGGUGGUAGGUGAUUUGAAGGUCAGCAGGAAGCAGGUGGAGCGACAGAACAGGGAGCUGUCAGAGUCUCACCAGAAGGAGGAGACGCUUCUCUCUGAGGCCGAGGCCAAAAUGGUGUCUUUGAGGUGCGAGCUCACCGCCUUAUUUGAUGGAAUGAUGGAGAAGAAAGGGGUGAGGAUAAACCAACUAACUGAAGAGCUGAAUGCAGUGACUCAAAAGAUGAAAGAGAGAGAAGAGCAUGUGAGGCACCUGGACCAGGAUGUGGUUGGUUUGCGAGCCACACAGGACUCUCUAAAGAGAACCUUGGCUAUGAAGGAGGAACACACACAACAGCUGGUCCAAGACAACACGCAGCUCAAAGAAAGCUUGGCUUCACUGCAGAGCAAACUACAAACGAGCGAGUGCAUGUUGAGUGACAUCAGUGAAUCCCUGGAUCAGGCCAAAAUCGCCCUGAAUGCGGAAAGACAGCAGAGGCAGCAGAUCCAGGACCAGUUGCACCAUGCCAACAAAGAGAUGGAGCGUCUGCGGCAGGAACUGACACAUGUGCGUCACACCAGUGAAAAGAAGAUCCAGAAGAGGGAGAUUAAGAUGUGCGUGAUGAUGAAAGAGCUCACAGAGAGUAAGAAGCAGCACUCUGAAUGUCAGAACGAGUUGCUCCGAAGAGAGAAAGCUUCUGAGAAACUGUACGAGGAGAGGGAUGAACUGAUAGCCAAGAUGGAGGACCGGGGCAGAGAGUGUGUCCACCUCAACCAGACCAAAGACAGACUGGAGGCGGAUUUGGCUCUGAGCCAUGAGAAACUCCACACCUCACACCUGGAGGUUCGAAGCAGAGAUCAGUUAAUUCUGCAGUUGAGAGCUGAAAUGAAAACAGCUGAACAAAAGCAUCAAAGGACACAGGGACAGGUGGCAGCGCUGGAGGGUGAGUUAAGCCACUUGAAACCCAAGGUCAGAGGACACCAGGAAGAGGCCUGUCAGUUAAGAGAAAAGGUCAGAGGUAUUGAGCGCCUUAAAGACCAGAAGGAGAAAGAACAACAGCAGCUACACGAUCAGCUCCGUAUUAGUCAGCAACAGGUCGAGACAUUUGAAGGGAAGCUAAAGGAGCAGGAGGUUGAGAUGGGACUUCUUCAUCAGCAGCUUAAAGGAGCCAAGGAGGAGCUGAAAGAUGCCCAGGGGCAGAAAGAAACUGCAGCCAUCUUUAAACAAAAGUACACAGCAGCAAUAGAGAAGGUGCAUAGGGUGCAAGAGCAUGUGGAACUUUUGGAUGAGGAGCUACAGUAUUCACAGCAACAGCUAAGAGAGUCCCAAUCAGCAACUCAGUCGGUGAAGGAAGAGCUAGCUGAGAUGGUGAAGCGGUACCAGGAAAAGGUUGGCCAAUGGGAGAAUGCACAGGAGGCUCUUGACCAGUUGACAGAUGAGCUCCAGGCCAAUCAGAAUCUGCUGAAGGAGAGUCAGCAAAAAGUGGACCUUCUCAAAGGUCUUAUAGGAUCACUGCAGGAACAGGUGGACACACUCAAACAGCAGGUCAGGACAAACAUGUUCACAUUAUAUACACUAGCGUAUGUAGACCCAACAAUAACAGGCAUAAAUCCAGACACAAAUACACAUUCAGCACUCAGAUUAUUCUUUAUUCCGCUGUGGAGAUCCUGAUUUGUAUGUAUC
This 2198-nucleotide long non-coding RNA is filed under the name Dicentrarchus labrax (European seabass). Its description in RNAcentral is "lncRNA (ENSDLAG00005030878.1)". Lineage: Eukaryota; Metazoa; Chordata; Actinopteri; Moronidae. The record is from RNAcentral.